ACUAGUUCAACCGAAGGGGAAUCCGAAGAUAUACAAAUUUCCAGUAUUACUGAUAUAACAAGUACAAGUAGAGACUCAAAGACACCCCAUCACAAUUAAUUUUUGACUUGCUUAAUAAUUCAAGAAUGUAAUUUGGCAUUAUGGAUUAAUUUUCUUUGUUAUAGAAAAAAAGCUCCAGAACCACACCCACCUCCCCCAUCGAAAAUUUACAAUUUGAAAUAUGCGA
Molecule: non-coding RNA, 226 nt
Organism: Schizosaccharomyces pombe (fission yeast)
Lineage: Eukaryota; Fungi; Ascomycota; Schizosaccharomycetes; Schizosaccharomycetales; Schizosaccharomycetaceae
Source: the annotation of a GenBank genome assembly